RNAcentral lists this ribosomal RNA (80 nucleotides) under Enterococcus faecium. RNAcentral describes it as "partial 16S ribosomal RNA". It matches the Rfam family "Bacterial small subunit ribosomal RNA", at positions 1 to 80 of the family's 1533-position model. The record is from RNAcentral. Lineage: Bacteria; Bacillati; Bacillota; Bacilli; Lactobacillales; Enterococcaceae. RNAcentral also lists the same sequence under 1 other name.
UUUUAUGAGAGUUUGAUCCUGGCUCAGGACGAACGCUGGCGGCGUGCCUAAUACAUGCAAGUCGAACGCUUCUUUUUCCA